Non-coding RNA from Caenorhabditis elegans, 83 nucleotides. The record is from Ensembl. Lineage: Eukaryota; Metazoa; Nematoda; Chromadorea; Rhabditida; Rhabditidae.
AUGCUUAGGCUUAGGCUUAGGCUAGGCUUAGGCUCAGAUUCAGGCUUAGGCUUAGGCUUAGGCUUAGGCUUGGAAUUAGGCUU